RNAcentral lists this ribosomal RNA (464 nucleotides) under uncultured bacterium. Its description in RNAcentral is "partial 16S ribosomal RNA". It matches the Rfam family "Bacterial small subunit ribosomal RNA", at positions 339 to 795 of the family's 1533-position model. The record is from RNAcentral.
CUACGGGGCGCUGCAGUGUGGAAUAUUGCACAAUGGGCGAAAGCCUGAUGCAGCCAUGCCGCGUGGGGGAUGAAGGCCUUCGGGUCGUAAACCCCUUUUCUGAGGGAAGAACAACCGGGCGAGGAAAUGCGCUUGGUCUGACGGUACCUCAGGAAUAAGCAACGGCCAACUCCGUGCCAGCAGCCGCGGUAAUACGGAGGUUGCGAGCGUUGUUCGGAAUGACUGGGCGUAAAGGGAGCGCAGGCGGCUAGGUCAGUCUGAAGUGAAAGCCCGGGGCUCAACCCCGGAAGUGCUUUGGAUACUGCCUAACUUGAGUGUGUCAGAGGAAAGCGGAAUUCCAGGUGUAGCGGUGAUAUGCGUAGAUAUCUGGAGGAACAUCGGUGGCGAAAGCGGCUUUCUGGGACAUUACUGACGCUGAGGCUCGAAAGCGUGGGGAGCGAACGGGAUUAGAUACCCUUGUAGUC